Molecule: ribosomal RNA, 778 nt
Filed under: uncultured bacterium
Lineage: Bacteria
Description: bacterial SSU rRNA
Rfam family: Bacterial small subunit ribosomal RNA
Source: RNAcentral
CAACUUGACGUUAAGGCUCGAAAAGCAUGGGUAAGCGACCAGGAUUAGAUACCCCUGGUAAGUCCAUCCCGGUAAACGAUGAAGUUGCUUAGGUGUUGAAGGGUUUCCGGCCCUUCAAGUGCCGAAGCUAACGCAUUAAGCACUCCGGCUUGGGGAGUACGGACCGCAAGGUUGAAACUCAAAGGAAUUGACGGGGGCCCGCACAAGCGGUGGAGCAUGUGGUUUAAUUCGAAGCUACGCGAAGAACCUUACCAGGUCUUGACAUCUUGCGCUAACCUUAGAGAUAAGGCGUUCCCUUCGGGGACGCAAUGACAGGUGGUGCAUGGUCGUCGUCAGCUCGUGUCGUGAGAUGUUGGGUUAAGUCCCGCAACGAGCGCAACCCUUGUUACUAGUUGCCAGCAUUAAGUUGGGCACUCUAGUGAGACUGCCGGUGACAAACCGGAGGAAGGUGGGGACGACGUCAGAUCAUCAUGCCCCUUAUGACCUGGGCUACACACGUGCUACAAUGGACGGUACAACGAGUCGCAAACUCGCGAGAGUAAGCUAAUCUCUUAAAGCCGUUCUCAGUUCGGACUGUAGGCUGCAACUCGCCUACACGAAGUCGGAAUCGCUAGUAAUCGCGGAUCAGCAUGCCGCGGUGAAUACGUUCCCGGGCCUUGUACACACCGCCCGUCACACCAUGGGAGUUUGUAACGCCCAAAGUCGGUGGCCUAACCUUUAUGGAGGGAGCCGCCUAAGGCGGGACAGAUGACUGGGGUGAAGUCGUAACAAGGUAGCC